Molecule: ribosomal RNA, 1059 nt
Filed under: uncultured Cryobacterium sp.
Lineage: Bacteria; Bacillati; Actinomycetota; Actinomycetes; Micrococcales; Microbacteriaceae
Description: bacterial SSU rRNA
Rfam family: Bacterial small subunit ribosomal RNA
Source: RNAcentral
UCCUACGGGAGGCAGCAGUGGGGAAUAUUGCACAAUGGGCGCAAGCCUGAUGCAGCAACGCCGCGUGAGGGACGAAGGCCUUCGGGUUGUAAACCUCUUUUAGUAGGGAAGAAGCGACUGGGUUUUCCUGGGAGUGACGGUACCUGCAGAAAAAGCACCGGCUAACUACGUGCCAGCAGCCGCGGUAAUACGUAGGGUGCAAGCGUUGUCCGGAAUUAUUGGGCGUAAAGAGCUCGUAGGCGGUUUGUCGCGUCUGCUGUGAAAACCCGAGGCUCAACCUCGGGCCUGCAGUGGGUACGGGCAGACUAGAGUGCGGUAGGGGAGAUUGGAAUUCCUGGUGUAGCGGCGGAAUGCGCAGAUAUCAGGAGGAACACCAAUGGCGAAGGCAGAUCUCUGGGCCGUAACUGACGCUGAGGAGCGAAAGCAUGGGGAGCGAACAGGAUUAGAUACCCUGGUAGUCCAUGCCGUAAACGUUGGGAACUAGAUGUGGGGACCAUUCCACGGUCUCCGUGUCGCAGCUAACGCAUUAAGUUCCCCGCCUGGGGAGUACGGCCGCAAGGCUAAAACUCAAAGGAAUUGACGGGGGCCCGCACAAGCGGCGGAGCAUGCGGAUUAAUUCGAUGCAACGCGAAGAACCUUACCAAGGCUUGACAUAUACCGGAAACGGCUGGAAACAGUCGCCCCGCAAGGUCGGUAUACAGGUGGUGCAUGGUUGUCGUCAGCUCGUGUCGUGAGAUGUUGGGUUAAGUCCCGCAACGAGCGCAACCCUCGUCCUAUGUUGCCAGCACGUAAUGGUGGGAACUCAUGGGAUACUGCCGGGGUCAACUCGGAGGAAGGUGGGGAUGACGUCAAAUCAUCAUGCCCCUUAUGUCUUGGGCUUCACGCAAGCUACAAUGGCCGGUACAAAGGGCUGCGAUACCGCAAGGUGGAGCGAAUCCCAAAAAGCCGGUCUCAGUUCGGAUUGAGGUCUGCAACUCGACCUCAUGAAGUCGGAGUCGCUAGUAAUCGCAGAUCAGCAACGCUGCGGUGAAUACGUUCCCGGGCCUUGUACACACCGCC